AUUGAACGCUGGCGGCAGGCCUAACACAUGCAAGUCGAGCGGACGAAGGGAGCUUGCUCCUGGAUUCAGCGGCGGACGGGCGAGUAAUGCACAGGAAUCUGACCGGCAGAGGGGGAUAAUGUCCGGAAACGGGCGCUAAUACCGCAUACGACCUGAGGGAGAAAGGGGGGGAUCAUCGGACCUCACGCUAUUAGAUGAGCCUAGGUCGGAUUAGCUAGUUGGUGGGGUAAAGGCCUACCAAGGCGACGAUCCGUAACUGAUCUGAGAGGAUGAUCAGUCACACUGGAACUGAGACACGGUCCAGACUCCUACGGGAGGCAGCAGUGGGGAAUCUUGGACAAUGGGCGAAAGCCUGAUCGAGCCAUGCCGCGUGUGUGAUGAAGGUCUUCGGAUCGUAAAGCUCUUUAAGUUGGGAGGAACAGCUGUGUGUUUAUCCCUUCCUGUUUUGACGUUACCUACAGAAUAAGCACCGGCUAACUUCGUG
This 484-nucleotide ribosomal RNA is filed under the name uncultured bacterium. RNAcentral describes it as "partial 16S ribosomal RNA". It matches the Rfam family "Bacterial small subunit ribosomal RNA", at positions 30 to 507 of the family's 1533-position model. The record is from RNAcentral.